Fukomys damarensis (Damara mole-rat) is the source of this 230-nucleotide long non-coding RNA. RefSeq lists it as uncharacterized. The record is from RefSeq and is a predicted model, not a curated record. The transcript is spliced from 3 exons. NCBI's taxonomy places the organism in Eukaryota, Metazoa, Chordata, Mammalia, Rodentia, Bathyergidae.
CUAGGGGCACACAGGGAAGAAAGGACAGAAUCAGGUCUCCGAAACAGCCCAGCCUGGCUGGGGAGUGGUGCCAGGCCAUCCUCACUUCCUUGCUGAGACUGGAGAAGGGAGACCUAAGCCCCAGGCACAGGGCAUUGGAUGGUUUACGCAACCGUCAUAUAGUCCGGGGAUGCACCCGUCCCUCAUGAGGUGCAGAAGGCCUGUCUCCAACCUUGAACAUACCCCCAGGG